ACGUAGGGGGCAAGCGUUAUCCGGAUUUACUGGGUGUAAAGGGAGCGUAGACGGCUUAGCAAGUCUGAAGUGAAAGCCCGGGGCUCAACCCCGGGACUGCUUUGGAAACUGUUAAGCUAGAGUGCUGGAGAGGUAAGCGGAAUUCCUAGUGUAGCGGUGAAAUGCGUAGAUAUUAGGAGGAACACCAGUGGCGAAGGCGGCUUACUGGACAGUAACUGACGUUGAGGCUCGAAAGCGUGGGGAGCAAACAG
RNAcentral lists this ribosomal RNA (251 nucleotides) under uncultured bacterium. RNAcentral describes it as "partial 16S ribosomal RNA". It matches the Rfam family "Bacterial small subunit ribosomal RNA", at positions 525 to 775 of the family's 1533-position model. The record is from RNAcentral.